RNAcentral lists this ribosomal RNA (254 nucleotides) under uncultured bacterium. Its description in RNAcentral is "partial 16S ribosomal RNA". It matches the Rfam family "Bacterial small subunit ribosomal RNA", at positions 524 to 776 of the family's 1533-position model. The record is from RNAcentral.
UACGGAGGGUGCAAGCGUUGCUCGGAAUUAUUGGGCGUAAAGGGUAGGUAGGUGGUCUCAUUUGUCUGAGGUGAAAGCCUUGAGCUUAACUCAAGAAGUGCCCCAGAAACGGUGAGACUAGAGUUCUGGAGAGGGUCGUGGAAGUUCCCGGUGUAGCGGUGAAAUGCGUAGAGAUCGGGAGGAACACCAGAGGCGAAGGCGGCGACCUGGACAGAUACUGACACUCAACUACGAAAGCGUGGGUAGCAAACAGG